GAUGAACGCUGGCGGCGUGCCUAAUACAUGCGAGUCGAGCGAACAGACGAGGAGCUUGCUCCUCUGACGUUAGCGGCGGACGGGUGAGUAACACGUGGAUAACCUACCUAUAAGACUGGGAUAACUUCGGGAAACCGGAGCUAAUACCGGAUAAUAUAUUGAACCGCAUGGUUCAAUAGUGAAAGACGGUUUUGCUGUCACUUAUAGAUGGAUCCGCGCCGCAUUAGCUAGUUGGUAAGGUAACGGCUUACCAAGGCAACGAUGCGUAGCCGACCUGAGAGGGUGAUCGGCCACACUGGAGCUGAGACACGGUCCAGACUCCUACGGGAGGCAGCAGUAGGGAAUCUUCCGCAAUGGGCGAAAGCUUGACGGAGCAACGCCGCGUGAGUGAUGAAGGUCUGCGGAUCGUAAAACUCUGUUAUUAGGGAAGAACAAAUGUGUAAGUAACGAUGCACGUCUUGACGGUACCUAAGCAGAAAGCCACGGCUAACUACGU
Molecule: ribosomal RNA, 496 nt
Filed under: uncultured bacterium
Lineage: Bacteria
Description: partial 16S ribosomal RNA
Rfam family: Bacterial small subunit ribosomal RNA
Source: RNAcentral